Elaeis guineensis (African oil palm) is the source of this 689-nucleotide long non-coding RNA. RefSeq lists it as uncharacterized. NCBI's taxonomy places the organism in Eukaryota, Viridiplantae, Streptophyta, Magnoliopsida, Arecales, Arecaceae. The record is from RefSeq and is a predicted model, not a curated record.
UUUCUUGAAAGCACACAAAUAAUAAUAAAAAAAUAGACGGGAGGAAAGAAACAAGAAAAAGGAAUGGAGCAGACAGCCUCAGCGGGGCCAAACAGCUGACAGCGACACUGUCUCUCUUUGUCCUCCGUCUUUCUCUCUCUUGCUCUCGGCUCUCCGCCUAAAAAGCAAGCAAGCAAGCCAGCCAGCCAGCCAAAGAAGAGAGGGAGGGGCUAUAAUUGUGUGUGUGUGUUUUUUUUUUUUUCAGUUAGGGUUUCUGAAUGAGGGAAGGGGUCUCUUUUUUUUAUCUCUGCUUCCCAUCCCCCACCAGCCCAAACGUUGUCGGUGAUUCGGACCCAUGGAGGUGUUCCGGGCCCCCAUGGCCAUGGGCCCCUUCUCCUCCUCCUCCUUAUCCACCUCUCCUUCCAUUGGAAGACGUCGUGCGCGGAGAAGAAGAAGGUAUGAAGGUGAUUUGAGCUGCAACAAUCAUGCAUUCUUGCGUUGAUCGCUAGAUUCUCUUGUCCUUGAUACUGAAAGUGGAUAUAUGGCAUUCGGCAAGGACAUGUUUAAUUUGGAGAAUUAGGGAAUGAAGCCAUUGGUCCGGGAGCAUAUGCAUAUAUUUUUGUAUAAUAAUAUUGACAUAUCCAGUGAAUGAUUGAGGCAAUUUUAUAUAUAUUUAAUUUCAAUUUCAGUUAAAUGACUAAUUCGGUGCA